RNAcentral lists this ribosomal RNA (301 nucleotides) under uncultured bacterium. Its description in RNAcentral is "partial 16S ribosomal RNA". It matches the Rfam family "Bacterial small subunit ribosomal RNA", at positions 509 to 809 of the family's 1533-position model. The record is from RNAcentral.
CAGCAGCCACGGUAAUACGAAGGGGGCUAGCGUUGCUCGGAAUCACUGGGCGUAAAGGGUGCGUAGGCGGGUUUUUAAGUCAGAGGUGAAAUCCUGGAGCUCAACUCCAGAACUGCCUUUGAUACUGAAAGUCUUGAGUAUGGGAGAGGUGAGUGGAACUGCGAGUGUAGAGGUGAAAUUCGUAGAUAUUCGCAAGAACACCAGUGGCGAAGGCGGCUCACUGGCCCAUUACUGACGCUGAGGCACGAAAGCGUGGGGAGCAAACAGGAUUAGAUACCCCCGUAGUCCCUGUCUCUUAUAU